RNAcentral lists this transfer RNA (71 nucleotides) under Loxodonta africana (African savanna elephant). It matches the Rfam family "tRNA". Rfam says of the family: Transfer RNA (tRNA) molecules are approximately 80 nucleotides in length. Their secondary structure includes four short double-helical elements and three loops (D, anti-codon, and T loops). Lineage: Eukaryota; Metazoa; Chordata; Mammalia; Proboscidea; Elephantidae. The record is from Rfam by way of RNAcentral.
ACAUUGGUGGUUCACUAGAAGAAUUCUCGCCUUUCACUCAGGAGACCUGGGUUUGAUUCUCAGCCAAUGUA